RNAcentral lists this ribosomal RNA (229 nucleotides) under uncultured bacterium. RNAcentral's name for it is "partial 16S ribosomal RNA". It matches the Rfam family "Bacterial small subunit ribosomal RNA", at positions 568 to 796 of the family's 1533-position model. The record is from RNAcentral.
UGCGUAGGCGGGAUAAUAAGUCAGUGGUGAAAUCUUGCAGCUUAACUGUAAAAUUGCCAUUGAUACUGUUGUUCUUGAGUAUAGUUGAGGUGGGCGGAAUGUGUCAUGUAGCGGUGAAAUGCAUAGAUAUGACACAGAACACCGAUUGCGAAGGCAGCUCACUAAACUAUUACUGACGCUGAGGCACGAAAGCGUGGGGAGUGAACAGGAUUAGAUACCCUGGUAGUCC